GCUCAGUAUUUUUGUGAUUUUACUUUUUUUUUAUCAAAGAAAUGCUGUCAAAUAUUUGUGUUAUAUCUGCAAAAAAUUGCCAAUGUAGUUCUUUGGACGCAUUUCAUUUUUGAAACAUAUACCAAUCUAAAUGAAGAUGUAUGUAUUUGCCUAAAACAUAUUUUUUUCUUUUGUAGCUAAAAGUUGGCAUCAUGCUCAUUUGCCGACAAUGCCAACCACCGAAUUUAAAAAUGCACCACAAC
Molecule: long non-coding RNA, 242 nt
Filed under: Mytilus galloprovincialis (Mediterranean mussel)
Lineage: Eukaryota; Metazoa; Mollusca; Bivalvia; Mytilida; Mytilidae
Source: RNAcentral